UACAGAGGGGGCAAGCGUUGUUCUGAAUUACUGGGCGUAAAGGGCGCGUAGGCGGCCUGCUACGUCGAGCGUGAAAUCCCCGGGCUCAACCCGGGAACUGCGUCCGAUACUGACAGGCUUGAAUCCGGGAGAGGGAUGUGGAAUUCCAGGUGUAGCGGUGAAAUGCGUAGAUAUCUGGAGGAACAUCGGUGGCGAAGGCGGCAUCCUGGACCGGUAUUGACGCUGAGGCGCGAAAGCCAGGGGAGCAAACGGG
This 253-nucleotide ribosomal RNA is filed under the name uncultured bacterium. Its description in RNAcentral is "partial 16S ribosomal RNA". It matches the Rfam family "Bacterial small subunit ribosomal RNA", at positions 524 to 776 of the family's 1533-position model. The record is from RNAcentral.